RNAcentral lists this transfer RNA (76 nucleotides) under Gemmatimonadota bacterium. Its description in RNAcentral is "Gemmatimonadetes bacterium tRNA-Val". It matches the Rfam family "tRNA". From Rfam's summary of the family: Transfer RNA (tRNA) molecules are approximately 80 nucleotides in length. The record is from RNAcentral. Lineage: Bacteria; Pseudomonadati; Gemmatimonadota.
GGCCCCGUAGCUCAAUGGAUAGAGCAACUCUCCGACGAAGGGUUAGGUCCGGGUUCGAGUCCCGGCGGGGCCGCCA